This 429-nucleotide ribosomal RNA is filed under the name Pseudomonadota bacterium. RNAcentral describes it as "Proteobacteria bacterium partial 16S ribosomal RNA". It matches the Rfam family "Bacterial small subunit ribosomal RNA", at positions 355 to 776 of the family's 1533-position model. Lineage: Bacteria; Pseudomonadati; Pseudomonadota. The record is from RNAcentral.
UGGGGAAUAUUGGACAACGGGCGAAAGCCUGAUCCAGCCAUGCCGCGUGUGUGAAGAAGGUCCUCGGAUUGUAAAGCACUCUAAGUUGGGAGGAAGGGCAGUAAGCGAAUACCUUGCUGUUUUGACGUUACCGACAGAAUAAGCACCGGCUAACCCUGUGCCAGCAGCCGCGGUAAUACAGAGGGUGCGAGCGUUAAUCGGAUUUACUGGGCGUAAAGCGUGCGUAGGCGGCUAAUUGAGUCGGAUGUGAAAUCGCCGGGCUUAACUUGGGAAUUGCAUUCGGUACUGGUUAGCUAGAGUGUGGGAGAGGAUGGUAGAAUUCCAGGUGUAGCGGUGAAAUGCGUAGAGAUCUGGAGGAAUACCGAUGGCGAAGGCAGCCAUCUGGCCUAACACUGACGCAGAGGUACGAAAGAAUGGGGAGCAAACAGG